UCGGUGAUGCCGUGGUGGCUGUGAUGAUAGUGAUGGGAAAGGUCCACGUGCACCCGACAAGCACAGGGUGCACCCCUUCGGCCACGUGGCCAAAGCAAGGAGGGAUAUGGUGGUUCAUGGGGACAUGCACAGUGGCAUACGAAAGGGGGCGUAGAAAUAGCGCAGGUCGGCCGUGGGAGCAAGGAGAAUGGUGCAGCAGCUAUGCAGGGGGGCAUGGGCCAUGCAAAAAUGAAAAACAAACUGGGCAUGGUGCGUGAAGAGAAUGACAUCGUGAUGAUGGAUGUGGGUGGGUAGAGCAGGAGCUUGACGGGGCCUGCGAGCGCUGCUGCCUAAUGUAACAAUACCCGUGACAGCUACUGCAUUGUGUUCAUUGUUACAGAAUGGGAGUUUUUUGGGCCGAUUACAAACAUGUGUG
This 415-nucleotide long non-coding RNA is filed under the name Volvox carteri. RNAcentral describes it as "long non-coding RNA (VCAR_LNC001689)". Lineage: Eukaryota; Viridiplantae; Chlorophyta; Chlorophyceae; Chlamydomonadales; Volvocaceae. The record is from RNAcentral.